This 771-nucleotide ribosomal RNA is filed under the name uncultured Neocallimastigales. RNAcentral's name for it is "partial large subunit ribosomal RNA". It matches the Rfam family "Eukaryotic large subunit ribosomal RNA", at positions 26 to 637 of the family's 3401-position model. Lineage: Eukaryota; Fungi; Neocallimastigomycota; Neocallimastigomycetes; Neocallimastigales. The record is from RNAcentral.
CGCAUCUGUGCAUGCAGCAUAUCAAUAAGCGGAGGAAAAGAAACUAACAAGGAUUCCCUCAGUAACGGCGAGUGAAGCGGGAAGAGCUCAAAUUUGAAAUCUUGAAAGGUCACCUUUCACGAAUUGUAGUUUAAAGAAGUGUUUUCUGUUACGAUCGUAAUAUAAGUUCUUUGGAAUAGGACAUCACAGAGGGUGAGAAUCCCGUCUAUGAUUGCGAUUUGUAGCUUUGUGAUACACUUUCAAAGAGUCGGGUUGUUUGGGAAUGCAGCCCGAAACGGGAGGUAAAUUUCUUCUAAGGCUAAAUAUUGGCGAGAGACCGAUAGCGAACAAGUACCGUGAGGGAAAGAUGAAAAGAACUUUGAAAAGAGAGUUAAAUAGUACGUGAAAUUGUCAAAAGGGAAGCGUUUAACACCAGUGUUGUUUUCUGAAAAUCAACCUCUGUUAGCUUUAUGCAUGUUUGUUUAGACCUAAUCAGCUAUCUUGCAUGUUCUAUUGUUUGCAGUGGUGCACUUUUCAGUUUACAGGUCAACAUCAGUUUUUUUUACCGUAAAAAAGUUAAAGAAAGGUAGCUCAUGGCUCCGGUCGUGAGUGUUAUAGUCUUUUUCCUAUGCGGUAGGAGAGACUGAGGUCUGCAGUGUAGGCUAUUUGGCUAGAUACUCAGGUGCUAUGUGAUACCAUUUCAUAAACAACUUGUUGAUUAUGUUUUGUCUAUUGCAUACUCGCUUGUACUAUCAUACCUACGCUUAGGAUGUUGACGAUCAGCUGAGCGCG